This 423-nucleotide ribosomal RNA is filed under the name uncultured bacterium. RNAcentral describes it as "bacterial SSU rRNA". It matches the Rfam family "Bacterial small subunit ribosomal RNA", at positions 357 to 773 of the family's 1533-position model. The record is from RNAcentral.
GGGAAUUUUGGGCAAUGGGCGAAAGCCUGACCCAGCAACGCCGCGUGAAGGACGAAAUCCCUCUGGGAUGUAAACUUCGAAAGUCGGGAAAGAAAUCCUGAGGGCUAAUACCCCUUGGGGAUGACGUUACCCGACGUACGCCCCGGCUAACUACGUGUCAGCAGCCGCGGUAAUACGCAGGGGGCAAGCGUUGUUCGGAAUUACUGGGCGUAAAGGGCGCGUAGGCGGCAUGGCAAGUCAGGAGUGAAAGCCCGGGGCUCAACCCCGGAACUGCUUUUGAAACUGCCGAGCUCGAGUGCGGAAGAGGCAACUGGAAUUCCCAGUGUAGCGGUGAAAUGCGUAGAUAUUGGGAAGAACACCGGAGGCGAAGGCGGGUUGCUGGGCCUACACUGACGCUGAGGCGCGAAAGCCAGGGGAGCAAAC